CCCGGCGACCGGCGGCACGGGUGAGUAACGCGUAUGCAACCUGCCCGUUUCAGCGGGAUAACCCGGAGAAAUCCGGCCUAAUACCGCAUGUGGCCGAGGGGAGGCAUCUUCUUUCGGCCAAAGGAGGCGACUCCGGAGACGGAUGGGCAUGCGUGACAUUAGCUUGUUGGCGGGGUAACGGCCCACCAAGGCGACGAUGUCUAGGGGUUCUGAGAGGAAGGUCCCCCACACUGGUACUGAGACACGGACCAGACUCCUACGGAAGGCAGCAG
This 272-nucleotide ribosomal RNA is filed under the name uncultured bacterium. Its description in RNAcentral is "partial 16S ribosomal RNA". It matches the Rfam family "Bacterial small subunit ribosomal RNA", at positions 86 to 354 of the family's 1533-position model. The record is from RNAcentral.